Molecule: non-coding RNA, 74 nt
Organism: Hydnum rufescens UP504
Lineage: Eukaryota; Fungi; Basidiomycota; Agaricomycetes; Cantharellales; Hydnaceae
Source: the annotation of a GenBank genome assembly
UGCUUGGUAGCGCAAUUGGUUAGCGCGUCUGACUGUUAAUCAGGAGGCUGAGAGUUCGAGUCUCUCCCGAGCAG